CACGGAGUUAGCCGAUCCUUAUUCUUACCGUACGUUCAGCUCCUCUCGCAAGAGAAGGUUUAUUCCGGUACAAAAGCAGUUUACAACCCAUAGGGCCGUCUUCCUGCACGCGGCAUGGCUGGUUCAGGCUUGCGCCCAUUGACCAAUAUUCCUUACUGCUGCCUCUCGUAGGAGUCUGGUCCGUGUCUCAGUACCAGUGUGGGGGGUCAUCCUCUCAGAUCCCCUAGACAUCGUGGUCUUGGUGAGCCGUUACCUCACCAACUAACUAAUGUCACGCAUGCUCAUCUUAAUCCUAUAAAUAUUUGAUUAUUCAGUGAUGCCACUAAAUAAUAUUAUGCGGUGUUAAUCCGGAUUUCUCCGGGCUAUCCCCUGAUUAAGGUAGAUUGCAUACGCGUUACGCACCCGUGCGCCGGUCUCUGGGUUGCAAGCAACCCAUACCCCUCGACUUGCAUGUAUUAGGCCUGCCGCUAGCGUUCAUCCUGAGCCAGGACUAA
Molecule: ribosomal RNA, 494 nt
Filed under: uncultured Sphingobacteriaceae bacterium
Lineage: Bacteria; Pseudomonadati; Bacteroidota; Sphingobacteriia; Sphingobacteriales; Sphingobacteriaceae
Description: partial 16S ribosomal RNA
Source: RNAcentral